UUGCAUAGGGAUCUACCUAGUAGUAUGGAAUAGCUGUUAGAAAUGACAGGUAAUACCGUAUAAUCCCUGCGGGGGAAAGAUUUAUCGCUAUUAGAUGAGCCUAUGUUAGAUUAGCUAGUUGGUAAGGUAAUGGCUUACCAAGGCUAUGAUCUAUAGCUGGUCUGAGAGGACGAUCAGCCACACUGGAACUGAGAUACGGUCCAGACUCCUACGGGAGGCAGCAGUGGGGAAUAUUGGACAAUGGGCGCAAGCCUGAUCCAGCUAUGCCGCAUGAGUGAAGAAGGCCUUAGGGUUGUAAAGCUCUUUCAGCAGGGAAGAUAAUGACGGUACCUGCAGAAGAAGUCCCGGCAAACUCCGUGCCAGCAGCCGCGGUAAUACGGAGGGGGCAAGCGUUGUUCGGAAUUAUUGGGCGUAAAGGGCAUGUAGGCGGUUUAAUAAGUUAAAAGUGAAAUACCAGGGCUUAACCUUGGAGCUGCUUUUAAUACUGUUAAACUAGAGAUCGAGAGAGGAUAGUGGAAUUCCUAGUGUAGAGGUGAAAUUCGUAGAUAU
RNAcentral lists this ribosomal RNA (549 nucleotides) under Neoehrlichia mikurensis. RNAcentral's name for it is "bacterial SSU rRNA". It matches the Rfam family "Bacterial small subunit ribosomal RNA", at positions 113 to 697 of the family's 1533-position model. The record is from RNAcentral. Lineage: Bacteria; Pseudomonadati; Pseudomonadota; Alphaproteobacteria; Rickettsiales; Anaplasmataceae.